Molecule: ribosomal RNA, 248 nt
Filed under: uncultured bacterium
Lineage: Bacteria
Description: partial 16S ribosomal RNA
Rfam family: Bacterial small subunit ribosomal RNA
Source: RNAcentral
UACGGGAGGGGGCUAGCGUUUGUUUCGGAAUUACUGGGCGUAAAGCGCACGUAGGCGGCUUUGUAAGUUAGAGGUGAAAGCCCGGGGCUUCAACCCCGGAAUUGCCUUUAAGACUGCAUCGCUUGAAUUGUGGAGAGGUGAGUGGAUUCCGGAGUGUAGAGGUGAAAUUCGUAGAUGAUUCGGAAGGAACACCAGUGGCGAAGGCGACUCACUGGACACAUAUUGACGCUGAGGUGCGAAAGCGUGGG